UUUAACCAAAUAGUUAUCUCGCGCUUUCAAAGCGCGGAUCAAAAUCUAGUUUUUGUUAUAACAAGAUACAAAUUAUCAUAAAACUAUAUGAAUAGAAAUUCUCAUUUAAUAGAUAUUUAUAUUAAAAGUAUAUAUAUAUUUUAAUACAGUUUAAAUUAAAUUAUAUACCAUAUUAAAUAAAUAUUUUAGUUCUUAAAUUUAAAUUGAACAAGUAUUGAGAACUUAGUAUUUUAAUUUUUCAUUGAACUUUUACUAAAAUUACUAAAAGUCCACAUUGAAAUUUUUAUUUUCAGCAUUUUAAAAUUUUUGUUAUAAGAAAUACAAAUGAUCAUAAAAUCAUAUAAGUACGAAGCCUUAUUUAAUAGAUAAUCAUAUUAAAAUAUAUUGUAUAUGUAUGUUAAUAUCAUUUAAAUUUAGCUAUAUACCAUAGAAAAUAAGUAAAUAUAACAGUUUUGAUUUAUUUAUCAUAAAAAUAUUGUAAAUAAAAAGAGUGAUUAUUUUAAUUUAUGUAUUCGUGCCAAUUUAAUUAUAUAUAGUUACUUGUUUUUCAAUUAUUCAAUAUUUAUUUAUUAUUUAUUAUUUUAUAAAAUGUAAAAAAUGCAAAAUAAAUAAUAUUGUAUAUCAAACACUCUUCUCACUAGUAGAAAUAUUGGCUAUAGCUACGAAGUUGCUAAAUUUAAAAAUGCUACGAAAAUGCUACGAAAUAGAAAACGUAACAAAAAGAGCUAUGAAGUUGCCACGAAACUAAUCGUUGCAAACAAUAGCUACGGUUUUGCUACGAAAUUCUCGUGGCAAAAUAGCUACGAAGUAAAUCGUGGCUAUAAUCGUUUCUAAUUUGUAAAAAAAAUAUCUUCUUUGCUACGAUUUUGCCACGAUACAGCUACGAAAAUUUGAAUCCCAAAAACCCUAAACAUAUUUUUAAACCCUUAAAUCUUAGUAUAAACCUUAAAACUCUUAUUUUAACUUUAAAUCUCAAAACUUAAACUCAAAAUUUAAUAUUUUCAGAUUUUACUCUAAAAUUUCAAUUCCAACCUCAAGCACUAUAUCCCAAACCAUAAUUCUAACCCUAAACAUUAUACCCAAAAUUAAAAAAACAAACACCAAAACUAAUAUUUUCAAACUUUAAAAAAAAAUCUUAAAAAUAAAGUAUAAAUCUAAUAUUUUCAAACUUUAUUUUCAAAUCAUAAAUUUUAAACCAUAAAUUAUAACUUUUUAAAAACAAACCUUAAUUCUUUAACAUAUACCCUCUAUUUUAAACUCUAAAAUAAUACAUAAACUUGUAAAUUUUAAUUUUUAACUUUUAAUUAUAUAAACUGAAUCAUAGCUACAAUAAUAUCAGCAUUAAUUAAGAUUAAAAAACUUGAAACAUAAUCAUGUAAAUCAUAAAUUUCAGUUCAUAUGAUUUAAAAAGCAAAUCAAAAUUACUCUAAACUUCAUACUUCAAACAUUAUUUCAUAAACAUUAAACAUUACUCUAAACUGCAAACUUUAAAUAAAACUCUAAAUUUUAAAACUAAUAUCCCCUAUAUACUAAAUCACAAGUCACUUGGCGAAUCAAAAACCGACACAUGGAAUUUGUUUUUAAAUAAAAUAAAAUGAAAAAGUCUGACCCAACUGAAUUUCUCUUUUAUAUAAUUUAAAUUUUUUUUUAUGUAAUUUAAAUUCUGUGUCUACGGUUUAUGUUUAGAAUUAGUUAGAAAAAAGAGAAAAAGAAGUUAAAAUGUAUCUGUUUAAACCUUUUCUCAACCAAAGCCACACGAUCACCACCUUUUCACGUAAACUGCUUACACCUAAUUCAAGUGAACUUUAAAAUCAUUUCAUCAACAUGUUUUUUUUUACAAAGCGCUCUUCGUUUCACACAAACAUCAUCAACAAAUUUCUUUACAAGCUUCACUAAAUCCAUUCUUCUGAAGUGUUCAAUUUUGAUGUUUACGAGCCACAAUCCAAUUGAUGCUUUCAGCCGCUUUAAAACCAAAAUUUCCAGAAUUCACAGGUAAACAGAAAAUCAAGCAUCAAUCUUUGUAUUGUUCAGUUUUUUUAUUAUUAUUUUAGUUUGCUGCAAACAUGUACGAGAAGUCAUAUCUAAAACAAGAAGCAGGUCUAAGCAAUCAAAGACAAGUUUGGAUGAAGUAUGUUCUAGAGCUAAGUUGGCGGAAGUUAGAGACAGAUGAAUUAGAUAAGAGUAUUAAAUAGAGUUGCAAAACAUUUGACCCAUUCAGAAUUUCAGGUAAAGAAUUUUUUUUUUACCUUUCAGUUUUUAUAAAAACAAUUUUCUUUUUACUUUUCAGUAUUUAAGUAUAUAUUUAAUUAUAUACUUGGAUAAUAAUUACAUUAUUGCUUCUAUACUAAAGAAUUAUUGUUUACCCUUCCCCAUCCUCUUUACAAUUUUGAAAUUUGAGACACUGUUAUUCAGGUUCAUACAAUAUUUGACAAAAGAAAAAAUAUUCUUACUGAAAAGUAUAUCCCCUAGACUAUAUUUGCGAAGUGAUUUUGCCACAUGUCUUUUCUACAAAACAAAUAUGACAUGGCUACUGAAAUUAAUGACAUGGAUUCCGGAAAAAUAUGACAUGAAUAAUUUCAUUUAAUGUUGAUUUAUAUUUUGGCAAACUUAUUAGAAUAUUGUAAUAAUUCAUAUAUUACAUUUAAUAUUGAUAUUUCUUUUUGGUAAACUUUUUUUAAAAUAUGGUAAUAACUCAUACAUCAUCUAUAAAAUAAAUAUAUUCAUAUAUAACAUUUUAAAUUUCAAAAUAUUAUUAGUUUUGUAUAAUUAUACAAUUUAUAUUACUAAAGCUUUCAAAAAAUUUUGCAAUUUUUUUAAAAAUUUAACUAUCUAAUCGCAAGAUCAUUAGUUUUUUAUAUUUACAAAUUUUAGAAAUAUUGUUUAGGCUAAAUUUUUGAUAAUUAUACAAUUUUAUAUCAUUUUUGUUAGUUUUAUACAAAUUAAUUUAAUAUAUAUCAAAUCUAAAUAUUAGUAAGAAAAUAAUAAAAUCUAUAAUAUUUAAUAAAAUUUAUUUUUAAAUAUAAGUUAAGUUAAAAAAAUUAAUUACAAAACACCUAGUGAUUAAUUAAGAGACAGUAAAAUUAAUCGUAGCAUGGACGGUAACGCUAGUAUAUAUAUAAACCUUAAAAUACCCAAUACAAAUAUUAAACUCUUUUUAAUGAUGGGGAAUCUUCGAUCGGGAGGAAAAUAAAUAAAUGAGGGAAAAGUAAGAAAUAAUGUGAUUGGUCGAUGUCAAAAAAGAUGGAUCACUCGUUCUCAUGUCCUAUUGGUUUUUCGUCAUCGUGGAGCUCGCCGUCAAUGGCGAAGAGAGAAAAUGAGUUUACCAGAAGAAGAAAAACAAUCAAAGCGGUUGGAGAAGAUCGAGAGACGAUAGCAACUCUCAACAAGAGUUCUCUGGUUUUGACUUGGAACAGAGAUCGAAACGGAGGUCCGAUCAGAGAGACAGAGACGAAGCGAUAGAGAGGAAGAGAUAGAGACGAACAGAGGAAGAGAGGAAGAGGGGAAGAAUCGAAAGACUUUGUUUUUUUUUCAACUACACGUGUACUCUAAGCGACGGCUCUUCCACCGCUUAAUUAAGAUACGUUUCUUGCCUUAUUUACAUUUUUUCUUUUUCUUUAAAUCAUAAUUACCCUAAGAAACUUGUCUAAGAGACAGGGAUAAUUGUGCUCUAAGGAUCCCGAGCUCGUGGAACAACCUUUGAACAAAUAUGAACAGAUCGAGGCGUAAAGGACCCAAAAUGCAACGAUUAUAGACCAAAACGUAAUAUAAUUAUUUCUUAAUUGACGAAAAACCUGAGGCAAAUUGCCGAAAACCAAAGACGUAUGGAGAAAAUAAAACAAAAGUGGGGUGACGACUUCUAGUUUUUUACUUUUUAAAAACUUUUCAUUUUUUCUUUAUUUUUAGUGAAAACUUUUAUGUCUUUGAAUUUUAAAUAUGUUUUCAAUUAUAAUUUUAACUUAUUGUGGUUUAUAAUAUUUUAAAUAAAUAUUAUAAUUAAAACCCUCGUAUAUCUGGUUUAUAAGAUUUUAAUUUUAAAAUAUUAUGUUUAACAAAAAAAUAAUUAUUUUGAAUGUUUUUGAAGAAUUCCCGACAGAUGGAUUCAUGAUGGGUUUCCCAACGAAAUUGUCGAGAAUUCAUCGGUAAAAUUUGCGAUGGACACAUGUGUUGGUUGUGGGUUUGCAACCCCACUUAACUCUUCCUAAAUCACCAUUGGCCUAUUAAACAAGGAGUAGAAGUCUGGCCAUAAUGAAAUAGCAUUACUCUUUUGUAUAUAUAUAUGAAGUCAUCCCGUAGAGAAAAGGGAUUCCUUUCACUCUCUCCUUUUGGAGAAUAAAAGAGAGAGAAGUACAUGAAGUUAUAGAAAGAUCUCUUUAGGAGAUCUAGAAGGCCAAGCUUCUCACGACCAUCAUCUUGCAGCGUUUCUCCAACGACAUCAUUCUGACAGCGAUAUGCCGACGUCGUUACCCGAAGCUGUUAUCCCCACAGCGUAAUUAUUUUGUGUCGUCACCUCGUAUAUCUUGUUGUCCGACUAUGCCAUCAUUCUAGUCUAGUAUCAAUCACAAUCUCAACUUUACUAAUUAAAGGUAAACUCAAAUAACCCACGUGAUUAAUUACAAAUGGCUUGAGCGACGUAGACAGCUUUCUCACAAAGUACAACUAUAACGCACAAAACUUCUAUUAUUUCUUUGAUGUCGCCUAGAUACAACCUCAUUAAUACAAGAUUCUGAAACAGAAUUUGAAAGUUUGAAGAGUAUUUUGGUGAGUAUGGGGCUGAAAAGGAAGCCUUGAAUCUUCAGUAGCCAACAAAUUGCCUAUUUUAACCGAAACAGUCAUUAGUCAGUGUUUCUUGCUAGUUGUGACUCAUAUACAAAGGGGGAAAAAGCUCACCUGCCCCUGGAUCUCAUGAAUCAAUCUCCUAUGGGUCUGUGAAUCUCUUAUACUCCUAUUUCAUUAACUAAAUGCGAAUUAAAGUGCCCUCAGAUUAUUAAAUCUAAAAAAAUGAAAAGUGGUUUGGUAUUUUGGUUUUCCUUCGAUUGGUUGGGUAAAGUGGUUUGGUUGAAACAGAUCGGUUUGAUCAUUAUCAAUCCCGAAACGUUCCUCCCGAAACCCUCAGCUCAGCCCCCUUCUCUUUUCUUUUCGGGUUCUUUUCCCACAGCUGGUUUUGCCGCUUCUUGGUUUCUCCCUCAGCUCAGCUCCAGAACCCUCAGCUCCUCCUCCACUCACAGGUUCUCAAUCUUCGUCGGGGCUGUUCGAGUUGCAUAGGAUACAAUGAGCAAUCACGUCAGUGAUAUACAUGGUAGUCAGGAAGAGAGCUACGAGAUGAUGUAUAGCUAUUUGUACAUGCUAGAGCAAGUGAAUCCAGGAACAAAAACCUGUGUGAAAUUGGAUGAGGGAUCGAAAUUCAAGUACCUCUUCGUAGCCUUGGGACCUUGCAUUGAAGGGUUUGCAGUUAUGAGGAAAGUGAUAGUUGUGGAUGCGACAUGGCUGAAGAAAAGAUAUGGUGGUGUUCUAGUCUUCGCGAAAUCACAAGAUCCUAAUCGUCACGCUUAUCCACUUGCGUUUGCAGUAUUAGAUCGAGAGAAUGAUGCUAGCUGGACUUGGUUUUUUGAGAUGCUUAAAAGUGUUAUACUAGACUCUUCUGAACUGGUUUUCAUGAGUGACAGAAAUAGAAUCCUCAUCUCCGCUUUAGCAAACGUCUUUCCACAGGCUCACCAUGGUCAUUGUUUAUGGCAUUUGAAGGAAAAUGUGAAAGGGCAUGCUUGUAGCGUCAAAAAGGAUAUAGUCGGGCAUAGAUUCAUGGAAUUGGGCAGAUAUUACGCGGAGGCUGACUUCGACUCUGCCUACAAAUCGUUUAAGAGAAGAUAUCCUUCGGCUUGGAAGUAUGUGGAAGAACAUACUGAAAAGGACAAAUGGGCAAGAGUUUUUUUUUCCACGUGACAGGUACAACAUGGAUACAAGCAACAAUGUGGAAUCAAUGAAGAACGUGCUUAAAGAGGCAAAGAGGUGUGCCUUAAUACCAAUGCUGGAUUGCAUCAUCGGGAAAAUCUCUGAUUGGUUCAAUCAACAUCGGAAGGAUGCUGUUGCUGGAUCAAUUGAUAGCAAACUGGUGCCUCUGGUUGAGAAUUACUUGCGCGAGCUAUGGCCUGUUGCACAAAAGCUACGUGUGCGGGAGCUUGAUAGUUAUGAGUAUGAGUACGAGAUCACCGACACUGAAGGAAAUAUGUUUUUGGCGAGCUUAGUUGGGAAAAAUUGUACUUGCAAGGUGUGAGAUUAUGAAAAGUUUCCUUGUCUGCAUGGACUGGCUGCUUACAUAAAUUUCACUACAAACGUUGGCAGGCGCCUUCAUAUCCAUGAGCUGUGCUCAGAAUACUACUGGUCCGAACUGUGGGCAAUGGCAUAUUCCAGGACACUUUAUGUUGUGCUCGAUAAGUCUUCUUGGAAUGAACCGGAUUACAUCAAGGAGGUGAAGAUCAUGCCUCCGGAUCGCAUCGCACGGGAGGGAAAGAAAAGAGUUAGAAGUUAGUUAUUUGGAUUUAGGAGUAAUGCAUUUAGCUCUGUUAUCUGUUUAUUUUGUGUUGUAUGCUUCGGAAAACUGCGUAAAACUUGGUUAUCUACUUUGUUUUCUAAUGACAUUAGUAUUAGCUAUAUCGAAACUCGGUUAUCAUAAUAUUAUCUAUAUCAAAUCUCGGUUGUUAUAGUUU
Molecule: long non-coding RNA, 6701 nt
Organism: Brassica napus (rape)
Lineage: Eukaryota; Viridiplantae; Streptophyta; Magnoliopsida; Brassicales; Brassicaceae
Exons: 2
Source: RefSeq, a predicted model, not a curated record